GAUGAACGCUGGCGGUAUGCUUAACACAUCCAAGUCGAACGGACUCUUCGGAGUUAGUGGCGGACGGGUGAGUAACGCGUGAGAAUCUGGCUUUGGGUUCGGGACAACCACUGGAAACGGUGGCUAAUACCGGAUGUGCCGAGAGGUAAAAGAGAAAUUGCCUGAAGAUGAGCUCGCGUCUGAUUAGCUAGUUGGUGAGGUAAAGGCUCACCAAGGCAGCGAUCAGUAGCUGGUCUGAGAGGAUGACCAGCCACACUGGGACUGAGACACGGCCCAGACUCAUACGGGAGGCAGCAGUGGGGAAUUUUCCGCAAUGGGCGAAAGCAUGACGGAGCAAUACCGCGUGAGAGAAGAAGGCUCUUGGGUUGUAAACCUCUUUUCUUAGGGAAGAACAAAAUGACGGUACCUAAGGAAUCAGCAUCGGCUAACUCCGUG
Molecule: ribosomal RNA, 435 nt
Filed under: uncultured bacterium
Lineage: Bacteria
Description: partial 16S ribosomal RNA
Rfam family: Bacterial small subunit ribosomal RNA
Source: RNAcentral